UAUUCUGCAAGCUGAAAUCAAGUGUGAAAUGCAUACCUUCUUGGAUCAUUUCCCAUGCCAGCAGCAAGACUUCAUUAUGACCCUCCAGGACUGGAUCAUGGACCAGCCUUCAAAAACCCUAGGUCAAUUAACAGCUAUGAUGAAGAAACUGAGACUCUACAAUUGGGCCCUUGCCCACAGUCACAUGGCCAGUACAGUGGUUGCACCCAGGUCUCUUUGCUCACACUCUUCUAACUCCAAGUCCUGUAUCCGUGGUGCCUUUCUACAUCCCACUUUACACUUCCUUGAUGCUUUAAAUUGGUCACUUCAAAACUCUUUCUCCUGGGAUGCUCUUAGUAACUCUGAGACAUAAGGAUUCUAAGGAUUUCCAUCUGCAAAUCUUCAAUGUACAAAUUAGGAUUCACUUUUCCCAAGGAAGGUGAACUCUAUAAAGUAAAUCAUAUCUGCAUUGUGUUUGUACAAAAGAUAGAGAAGAAAAAAAGACAAGAAAACUAAGAGUGUAAGAGGUUAAAGUCUCAGAUUGAGGGGGUAGCAGCUGGAGUGCUGGUCUUGAAAUUAGGAAGAUCAGAUCCUGUCUUUGAUUUUUACUGGCUCUAGGAACCUAGAUAAGUCAUUUAAACUCUCAGCCCAUUUUCUACUCAGUAAAAUUGGAACAAUAAGA
Molecule: long non-coding RNA, 661 nt
Organism: Vombatus ursinus (common wombat)
Lineage: Eukaryota; Metazoa; Chordata; Mammalia; Diprotodontia; Vombatidae
Exons: 3
Source: RefSeq, a predicted model, not a curated record